CAAGUGAGAAAAUGUUGUUUAAUUCAAUCAUCAGCUACCUGGUUAUGCACUCCUUGGGAGAGCAAUUGUGUAGUUUUGUUAUCCUCAGGAGGAUUGUUGUUAUAAAGUUUAGAUAAAACAAAAACACAUAACCAAAUUGAAAAUCUUUACUUUUUCUGGGGUUGCUUAUGCAGUAGAAGGUGUGCCCAGCAUUCCAGUGUUUGAUGAAUGAUUAAUACCCAUGUUUCCAGCCUUUCAAGAUUCUAGGCUUUCACAGUACUUAGUGGAAAAUACCCCCUAGAAAUGAACUAAGCUUGUGUCAGUACAGAUACAGUGGCUGCAGUCAAUAUUAGUUGAUAUUAUAUGACAUAUUACAUUGUUCAAUUGAACCAGUUUUAAUUCUUAAAGAUAAGCAACUUCCCAGAAAAGGAGCUCAUGAACAUAAAAUUCUAUACAGGGUUCUUAAAUCAUCUCUCAAUAUUUGUUUAUAUGACAAGGAUUUGUAUUCUGUUAUAUAAUCUUUUUUCCCAAUUAACAUAUUCUAAGGGAAAAAAUAAAGAUCUUGUGCAAAUGACCUUUUAUAAUAAAAUAAAACUUCCAGAAGGUUAAAAAAUAAUGGAAAUCUAGGCUAAUAAAUCCUCUCACAGAUAUAUGUUUCCAUUAACUGCUGCUCUCCUUCUUGAUCUUAGCACUGCAGGUUUAGAAAAUUAGAAUUUCUGGG
This 700-nucleotide long non-coding RNA is filed under the name Marmota monax (woodchuck). Lineage: Eukaryota; Metazoa; Chordata; Mammalia; Rodentia; Sciuridae. The record is from RNAcentral.